AGUGGAGGUCAAAGCCCUCCCCAUCCGCCCCACGCUUCUGCUGGACCCCCCAUCCGGGGUAUUAUGGGAUGGCCAAGGGGUGACGUUGACCUGUGAGGCCAAUGGGAGCGUCGCUGGGCGGAGUUUUCCUUCUAUCGCGACGGAGAGCCGCUAUUGGUCGACGGGUCGGACGGCGACAUGUCGCGAUAUCGGGUGGACAAAGGAGGGGGGAAUUUCAGCUGCAGUUACCAGGAGGAGGUGGGGGGGACGUGGGUGACGUCGCCCCACAGCGCCAGGAGGGAGGUGGUGAUGAAGGGCCGAUUUCCAUCCAUCGCUUUGGGCUGUGGGGCGGCCGGAGCCGCUGUGCUGCUGUUGGUUUCCAUCGGCCUCAUUUCUUACUGCAAACGACGCCGAGGAGGCGUUAAUUGGAAGGGAUUGGGGGAGAAGGACGAAGGCGGCGCUUUGCCCAUGGUGGGGAUGGAAGCUUGAGAGCAAAACGGCGGCGAUUUUGGGGGGAAAAAGGGGAUUUUGGGGGCAUUUCUGGGUUUUUUGGGGUUUUUAAUCAGUUUCCCCCCAAUUUUUGCCUUUUUUUGAGUGGUUUUUUGUAUAUCGAGGCCAAAAAUGCCCCAAAAAUGGCGUUUCUGACCUCAAAAUGG
Long non-coding RNA from Lagopus muta (rock ptarmigan), 635 nucleotides. RefSeq lists it as uncharacterized. The transcript is spliced from 4 exons. The record is from RefSeq and is a predicted model, not a curated record. Lineage: Eukaryota; Metazoa; Chordata; Aves; Galliformes; Phasianidae.